This 81-nucleotide transfer RNA is filed under the name Dermacentor silvarum. RNAcentral's name for it is "transfer RNA serine (anticodon AGA)". It matches the Rfam family "tRNA". From Rfam's summary of the family: Transfer RNA (tRNA) molecules are approximately 80 nucleotides in length. The record is from RNAcentral. Lineage: Eukaryota; Metazoa; Arthropoda; Arachnida; Ixodida; Ixodidae.
GCAGUCGUGGCUGAGUGGUUAAGGCGAUGGACUAGAAAACCAUGGGGUCUCCCCGCACAGGUUCAAAUCCUGUUGACUGCG